Long non-coding RNA from Apis cerana (Asiatic honeybee), 5937 nucleotides. RefSeq lists it as uncharacterized. The record is from RefSeq and is a predicted model, not a curated record. NCBI's taxonomy places the organism in Eukaryota, Metazoa, Arthropoda, Insecta, Hymenoptera, Apidae.
CGCACGUAUUUACAUUAAUUUAAAACUAUUUAAAUUAUAAAUUAAGAAGAAAUAUAAAAUUGGAGAAUCAAAUCAUUUCUCUUUGUCUAUCGAAUUAGCUAUGAUAAACAUUUUGUUUCCAGGUGUAAAUAAAACCAGCUUCGACGCGUUAACGCUCCACAAAUACGCGAAUAUGUGCACGUAUGCAUAUGUAGAUUGAUUUUACCGCGUCCACGGGGAACAUCAUUGGAACAUCCGCUUUCAUUCGUGCACGCGCAAUAAAACGGUUGGAAAAAGUUUGCGAUCGAAGGGAAGUGGAAACGUGGAGAAAAUUGGGAAAUUGUAUGUCUUUUCAAUCGCGAUGACAUUUCAUUCAACAGUGUUUUCAAAAAUCAUAAUUUCGAAAGUGUAUUUAAGGUAUACGUGUAUGAUUAAUAUCAAUGUUUUCAAUUGCAAUACGUGCGUGAUAGAUUUUUAAUAAUCAUGCAUCGAAAUAUAAGACUUCACGUAUAUAAAUAUAUAUAUAUUUUAUUUCCUAUCUCUGCUAUUACGAAGAAUGGAAUAUCAGAGCGAAGAUUCGGAAAAUUAAAAGAGGAAAAGAGUAUUAUAAUAAGAGAGAAAGGUAACUAACAGGUUAUAUAUUAUAAUGAAUAAAUUAAUGACGCAUUUUCGAUGUAAAUUCAUCGCUGCGGAAUGCUUAUCCGCGUCCGAUUCUACAAUAUGUCACGCCAUUUACAAGCGUUGUAAGCUUUAUUGUUCUCAGCAUCCAUUGUAUUUACGCGCGUUUUACAUCUCCUGCCAGCGAAUCCCUCCUUGCAAUAGUUGAAUUCUUCCCUUCCCGCUUCUUCUUACUUUGUUCGACAUCAAUAAAGCUUUAAUUAGAUGUCGCGUGACAAGAUAGCAUCGCCGUUAUGGAUAUAUUGUAACGCAAUCCAUACACGAUCGAUCAUUUUUCCACUUGAAAAAUCAACAAUUCAGAGAAAUUAUAAGGAAGAGAUGGUAAUAUAUAUCAGCAAAAUAUCUUACAAGGAAAUUUAUGUACUUGGAAAGAUUUGAGUUUAAUAAAAAAAAUUCUUGUGCAUAUAAAUUUCAAUUAGACAUACGUUUUUUAUAAUAAUAUAAAAUAAAUUCGAAUAUUUGGAUCUAUCGUUACAAAGUUAUAUUUAAAAAAUUAAAUUAAUAUUGAAGAUAAGCGAAUUAUAGGUUAUUGUAUCCUAGAAAAUAAUGUUAACAUCGAUCGAAAGAAAUUACUUAUUUUUAAUUUCGAUUAUUUCAUUGGAUAACGUAUAUAAAAAUACUUUUUCUCUAUAUUUCUUCCAAAUUUUUGUUCAAAGUUUAUGCAAAGAAGAGAAAAACGAUUGAAUUAAAUUUUAUAGAUAUAAUUCAUAUCACAAAAGUUUAAUCAAACAAAAACGAUCAUAACAUUAUUUUACACUAUUCUCAUUUAUUCGCUAAACGUUCGUUUGAACGCACGCCAAUGCCAAUGUGUGAACACGUGGUUCAUCAGUGUGCCAAUGUUGGCCACCUCUUGCUAUCGGUUUUCGAAUCAAAGAACAUUAGGUUUGCCAAUGUGAUGUGCCAACAUCCUGUCUACAUAUUUAAUAAUAAUUACGUUAAAUGUUAAGUAAAUAUAACUCUAUUAUCGUUCGAUGCCAAUGAUAUUUGUAAAUAAAAAUCACUUAAAAACCGCUUAACGUGCUCGUUUAUCGCGAUCUAACGAAGAAAAAAUCAAUUUUAACUUCGAGUCGAUUUUCGUUCGUUUAAUAUCGAGGGGGAUUUUAUUAGGAGAUCGUAUAAAAUAAAUCGAAUAUAAUUUGAAAUUGUUUAAUUUUUAAUUUGAUUACGAGAAAUCUUCUACGAGUUUUGAAAAAGGAAUCGGCAAGCGAUAUCUUUUACUAUGAUUUAAACGUUCGGCGCGAGAUCGAGGUCAAUCGAUAAUGUCGUAACCGAAAAAUAUAUAUUUGUUCGAUGAAAAGAGCCUUCGUCGAAAGUUCUCGACCCGUUGCAUUCGGAAUAUCACUUUAUGCUAAGGCAAAUAUUAAUUCUGAUAACCGAGAAUACGAAUUGUAGUAGGUGAACAUUUCUUAUAUAUGGAAUUUUAAAUGAAUUCGAGCGCAUAUUUGUUUAAGGAUUUCGGAUAGUUAUAAAUAAUAGUUAUUAACACGUGUAUCGUGAUGACGAAUUGAAAACGAAUCGAGAAUGUUUCAAUGAUCGAAUCGACCAAUUUGAAUGUAUUAAUAAAAUUAAUUUUCAAGAAUAUUCUUAAUGGAUAACAAUCACAAAAAUAGGCAUACGUUUCCCGAAAAAGUCUCACAUCUGCACAGAAGAUUAUGUAGUACCAUACCAUGUUGAGAGCGAGGGAGUGGAGUACUCUCUUUGCCCCUGUGGCAUCUUGAAGGACUUUUCAGCAAUGCAUAGUGGAAACAAAAGGGGAGAAAGAAUGUACGAGUGGAAAAAUAAAUAACGGUGAGAAAAUAAUAUACAUAAUUACAUCUAUAUUCAAAUUAAGAAAAUAUGAAAUUAAAGCAAUUAGACUAAACAUAUAUAUUUAUACGUUAUUUUAUUUCCUGAAUAAAAAUUAUCGAUAUUAAUUUAAAGAGAAACAUUUUCGCUUAAUCGAUAAAGAAAUUAUAAAAAUAACUCGUGAAUCAUAAAAUUUGAUAUUUCUUAUUCAUAUCAAACUUGUCUUAUCGUGUAAAUCCUCGUAAUUAUUGAAAUUAGGAAGAUAAUGUUGAAAUAUAUCCGGAACGGGAAAUAUUUUCAAAUUGAUACAAAUUAUUGCGCAAAACCGGGUAUAUUCUACACGUAUCUCAAAGUGGUUUGUUAGUACUCGGAAGACGCGGAAGCGCAAGAGUCUUCAUUGCGCGUAAAGUUGAUGUCCACUUAACCUGAUUCUUUGUCCGUUCUCUCCGACCAAUCUUCUCUUUCCCUUCUUCAGACUUUUCAUUCUUUUUCCCGCGACAAUUAAGUAAGAUUUCCCUCCCGCGAUAAUAAAUCGAAAAUGACGUUAAUAAUUCGACGUCGCAAUAAUCGAUCAUUUCAUUGAUAGACGUUUUAUCAUAUGUAAUGACAGAUUGAUACAUACGAAAAUUCUCGACACUUCUUCGGAUUCUUUUAAUUAAUCGACAAAAUCAGUUUUCUUUUUUUUUUUAUAAAAUAUUUAUGAAUUAUUCGAAUGAGAAUGAUUUAGAAAUUUGGAAUGUUUCUCGCGUUUUAAUGAUCAAAAAAAUCAAUUAUUGCUAUUUAUGCUUCGUUGCUUCCUUGUUAUUGUUACUAAUAAUUCCAUUUUUUUUUAAAUUUGAUUCUUAUGAAAAUUUAUAUAAAAAGAAAAAUACUAUUCGAAUAUUUUUUAUUUAUUUAAAAAAAGGAAAUAAAUAUUUCUGUUUGAAAAAUUAUCAUAGAAAUUGAGAUUUAAAAGAAAAAAAAAAAUUUUUUUUAAUAGAAUGAUGAUUGAUUAGAAUGAGAUAUUUUUUUUUUAUUUCUCAUUCAAGCGUUUUAGAACAUUUUAAAAUGGUCUAAUGUCAUUCGAAGUUAUCGGUCAACUGCAAAGGAAAGUUAAUUUAUUUUAUGGGAACGAUAAAACUAUUUCCUAAUUGAUUAUUAAUAAUCAUGAUAACACGAAUCAUCAAAUGUAAAUAAAUAGUCAAUUACGCUUGUACGCUUCAUUAUUUAUUUUGUAAAUAUUAUUUUUUGCUUGUAACAUUUUAUCCAUUUACGUGCAAUUUUCAAAAUAAGUUAUUAAAAAAAAAAGUAGAUAUGGUUUACUUAUCGAAUGUUAUUAAAUUGGAAAAAGUACAUUUGUAUACAGAUUCUUCGAACGUGUUAGAUAUUUUUACAAACGUUACAAAAAAUUUUCAAGAAUAAACAGAGUACUUUCGUUCAUGUGAAAUAAGUUAUUUUCCCUUGUGAUUGAAUGAUCUUAAACCAAGUAAACAAAACAUAUCAUUUAAAAAAGAAAAACAAACUUGAUUUUCACGUGACUUUCAUGUUGCUCAUCGAUCAACAAUCGACACAAUGCACAAGUUUGCUCCGACACAAUUUUUUUCUAUCAUCAAUAACAGCCGAGAUAUUCAAACGCUUCGCUCCGUAUAUUUAAUAUUAAGCGUCUUUUUUUCUUAUUAAGCAUACAAAUCCGUCUCGCGCGAAACGUGUGUUUCGCCAAGAUAAGUGACGCAUAAUCAUGUUACAAAUUCGACAUUUGAUGUCUGCUUCGCGUUUACCGUUCGCGUUUGCCUUCCAAAUAGAUAUCAAUUCGAGAACAGGGAGCAAGAAGAAACACGAUCAGCUGACACCUCAACGUUUCAUCAAUGCUUGCACAGGCUGUGCUACGCGUGUAUCGAAACACGUGUGGCAUGUGUACACACGUACGCAAAGUUUACAUAUUUAAUCGAACGUCUUAUACAAGUCUCUUAAGGAAUAAAAUAUCAAUCGAACGAGGAAUAAAAUUCGUAAAAUUCGAGUUUCGAGAUAAGAUCAGUAUCUUACCUCGUGAUUAAUAAUUGAAUUAAGACGAUUAUUUAUUUCACUCGUAUGUCACAUCGAUAAAAUGUUAAUAACGAAGUGACGGAUUUAGGGGGAUAUUGCAUAAGUUAAUUGAAUAAAUUGAAUAAAAAUUUGUUUAAAAUCAGAAAUUGGAUAUAGAUUCGUUGGGAUUUUGUUAACGAGUUAUUAACAAAAAACAUUGGCCAAUCAAUUUAUAGCUUAAUCGAGCUGCAAGAAUAGUGUUGGUUAUGUGCCGUCGAUCGAACACGAACAAAUCCAAGUGAUAUAAAUACGUCGAAAAAAGUUGAAUAUUAUAGUUUAUCUAUUGUUAUAUAAUUAUUUAUAAUUCGAUUAUUUUAUCGAUAAAAAAAAUUUGCCAUAUUCAAUAGUUUUUUUUAUAUUAUAUAUGUUGCUUGAAUUUAUUCGUGCUCGGUACUACACGUAGCUAACACUAUCAUCGUAACUCGUAGCUACAAUAUGAUUGUUUUUUGCUGAUAAUUAAUUAACAAAAUCGUAACGAAACUUUUUGAAAAGGAAAAUAUUGCUUGAAAUCAUUUCAGGAAUUUUCAGUUAACAGAUGUUUCCAUUUUUGGGAUAUCUUGUAUAUUUGUCCAUGUAAAAUAUGUAAAGGAUAUCGACAUACAUCAAAUUUCUUUAUUUUUAAAUAUUUUUGUUAAAAACAAAGCAUACAUCUUUUUCAGAAUUCUCUGUAUCAUCAUUUCAAUUUUUAAAAUGAUGCAUAUUGUUUUAAAGUUAAUUCUUAAUACAGGAUUAAAUUAUUAUAUAUAUAUAUGUAAUGUAUAUCAAAAGUAUGAGAUACUUUACAUAAAACUUUUUUAAAGAUUGGAGUUACUACAAUAACUUUGCGACCUUUUAAAAAUAAUCAUUUUAUUAUAUUGUAUAUGUAAAAUAAUAUAAAACGUAAAUUUAUAAAAACUCGUCAAUCAUUACAAUUUUUUUAUAAUUUUUAGAUUAAUAAGAAACAGAUAUUUUCCUAAUAUUUUCAAAAUUUUAAUGUAAUUUUAACGUUCGAAUAUUGUUUAUUAAAACAUCAGACAAGAAUCGUUUAUCAAAAAAUAUUUACCAUCUCUCAAUUUAAUAACAAUCUUUGAAGUUGUUUUCUCUCAGAUUCAUUUUACAACAUUCAUUAUAAUAAUAACGGUGAAAAAUUUCACUGGAAUAGUGCACUUUCAUUAAUGAACCACAACGUUCAAAGAGUCAAUUCAGCCAUUUCCAAAUGCGUUACCAAAGGCUGGGCUAUGUUCGGUGUGCUUUCAACGUAACAACUCCCGAUAACUUUUCCUAAACACUAAAUAGGUUAGACAGGUUGACCUGGCUACGCCAAUUCUAACAUGUAUGGGUCGCGUUCUCCGAUUCAAUUAUAACAUAACCUUUAAACGGCGUCAUGGCGUCGUGGCAUUGUAGCAUCGCGGGCAUCGUGGCGUCGUAAUAUCGUCGAGUCGAUGUCGAUGCCGA